Molecule: long non-coding RNA, 304 nt
Filed under: Salvia miltiorrhiza (redroot sage)
Lineage: Eukaryota; Viridiplantae; Streptophyta; Magnoliopsida; Lamiales; Lamiaceae
Description: long non-coding RNA (SMIL_LNC014174)
Source: RNAcentral
GCGGAUAUUAUGGCUAAUCAUGCCCGGAUCGAAGGGUGGUGGCCCUUUGCUAUUGAGGAUAUAAAGAUUGCGGUGUCUUUAGAUAUGGCGACUCAUAGUCGCGUUCGUUUGAAGAAUUGAUUACAUGGGGCUGUUUUGGAUUGGUCUAUUGGAGUGGUUGAUGCUCGGUUGGUUUACUACAGCGUCUUACCGACUGAGGUUCAACUAUUUUUUCUUUUUCUUGGAUGACGGCGACGGGCUCUCACCGGCCAUCAUCUUUGUUGCUUUGCGUGUUCUUAUUUCGGUUGUGACUUUUUGAGCCGGG